UGUAAGCGUAUACCAAAGUUGUUGCAGUUAAAACGCUCGUAGUCGGAAUUUGGCAGUUCCGGAUGUGCGCACGUCGUGUGCGCACUUCGCGGGGAUUGCUUUUGUGGUCUUGCGUAGGAUGAGGCACUUUUAUUAGUGAACGUCCUCACGCAACCACUUUUUACUGUGAGAAAAUCAGAGUGCUCAAAGCAGGCAUUUGCCGUGAAUGUAUUAGCAUGGAAUAAUAGAAUAGGACCUGGUUCUAUUUUGUUGGUUUGUUGGGACUGAGUAAUGAUUAAGAGGGACAGUUGGGGGCAUUUGUAUUUCGGUGCUAGAGGUGAAAUUCUUAGAUUACCGAAAGACAAACUGCUGCGAAAGCGUCUGCCAAGGAUGUUUUCAUUGA
This 382-nucleotide ribosomal RNA is filed under the name uncultured eukaryote. RNAcentral's name for it is "partial 18S ribosomal RNA". It matches the Rfam family "Eukaryotic small subunit ribosomal RNA", at positions 592 to 976 of the family's 1831-position model. The record is from RNAcentral.